RNAcentral lists this ribosomal RNA (223 nucleotides) under uncultured bacterium. RNAcentral's name for it is "partial 16S ribosomal RNA". It matches the Rfam family "Bacterial small subunit ribosomal RNA", at positions 116 to 334 of the family's 1533-position model. The record is from RNAcentral.
CGUAGGUAACCUACCCCUUAGCGGGGGAUAACUAUUGGAAACGAUAGCUAAUACCGCAUAAAAGUCGGCAUUGCAUGAUGUUGACUUGAAAGGUGCAAAUGCAUCACUGAGAGAUGGACCUGCGUUGUAUUAGCUAGUUGGUGAGGUAACGGCUCACCAAGGCGACGAUACAUAGCCGACCUGAGAGGGUGAUCGGCCACACUGGGACUGAGACACGGCCCAG